GACCAGACUCCUACGGGAGGCAGCAGUGGGGAAUAUUGCACAAUGGGGGAAACCCUGAUGCAGCGACGCCGCGUGAGUGAAGAAGUAUUUCGGUAUGUAAAGCUCUAUCAGCAGGGAAGAAGUUGACGGUACCUGAGCAAGAAGCCCCGGCUAACUACGUGCCAGCAGCCGCGGUAAUACGUAGGGGGCAAGCGUUAUCCGGAUUUACUGGGUGUAAAGGGAGCGUAGACGGCAGUGCAAGUCUGAAGUGAAAGCCCCGGGCUUAACCCGGGAAUUGCUUUGGAAACUGUACGGCUGGAGUGCUGGAGAGGUGAGCGGAAUUCCUAGUGUAGCGGUGAAAUGCGUAGAUAUUAGGAGGAACACCAGUGGCGAAGGCGGCUUACUGGACAGUAACUGACGUUGAGGCUCGAAAGCGUGGGGAGCAAACAGGAUUAGAUACCCCUGUACA
This 448-nucleotide ribosomal RNA is filed under the name uncultured bacterium. RNAcentral's name for it is "bacterial SSU rRNA". It matches the Rfam family "Bacterial small subunit ribosomal RNA", at positions 329 to 794 of the family's 1533-position model. The record is from RNAcentral.